AGGAUAGAACGCUAAGGCGACAGGCCUAACACAUGACAAGUCGAGGGGCAGCACGGUGUAGACAAUACGACGGGUGGCGACCGGCGCGACGGGUGAGUAACGCGUAUGCAACCUGCCUACUACAAGGGGAUAACCCGUUGAAAGACGGACUAAUACCCUAUAACACAGGGAAUCCGCAUGGAUAUAUUUGUUAAAGAUUUAUCGGUAGUAGAUGGGCAUGCGUUCCAUUAGCUUGUUGGUGAGGUAACGGCUCACCAAGGCAACGAUGGAUAGGGGAACUGAGAGGUUGAUCCCCCACACUGGAACUGAGACACGGUCCAGACUCCUACGGGAGGCAGCAGUGAGGAAUAUUGGUCAAUGGACGAGAGUCUGAACCAGCCAAGUCGCGUGAAGGAAGACGGCCCUACGGGUUGUAAACUUCUUUUGUAAGGGAAUAAAUAGUCUUACGCGCUAAGACGUUGCAGGUACCUUACGAAUAAGGAUCGGCUAACUCCGUG
RNAcentral lists this ribosomal RNA (497 nucleotides) under uncultured bacterium. RNAcentral describes it as "bacterial SSU rRNA". It matches the Rfam family "Bacterial small subunit ribosomal RNA", at positions 38 to 507 of the family's 1533-position model. The record is from RNAcentral.